Molecule: long non-coding RNA, 920 nt
Filed under: Homo sapiens (human)
Lineage: Eukaryota; Metazoa; Chordata; Mammalia; Primates; Hominidae
Description: NARF antisense RNA 2
Source: RNAcentral
UGUCACGUAGGCUCGGCGGAGUAGCAGCGCGCAUGCGCGGCCUGCCUGUCAGUAACCACGUGAUGGACCCGGAAGCCCGAGGGCAGAUGCUAAAUGAUGGCCAUUUGACAUUUGCGUGUGUUCACUAUGGAUAGUUUUACCAAGUACAUUGAUUUGGGCCCUUACAGCUUACAAAGUAAAGAUAACACUUACUCCUCCAAGAAAUUGAUUUCAGCUAAGCAAAACAUUGAUACAGGGCUAUAAUGGAAGUGUUGGACUCAUAAACGUUUUAUGAAAUCAGUGUGUGUGUAUUACAGAAAUCAGAAAUGAGAAGUAAGAACAUGUCUGGGAGAGUGUGACAUAAGAAAAAUAACUUGUAGGCGUAUUUAACAGACAGCAGCAGUUCUCAGGAUUCCCCAUGUUAGAGCCUUCCUUCCUGUCCUCUGAGAAAUGAAAAUGAAAUCCAAAGACCCCCAACUGACUACACGAACCCCCUACUGGCUAAGGAGAUCCCAGGGUUGCCUUGAAGGCAGUUCUCAGCCAUGACAGAUGGGAGUUUCGGCCCAAUUGACCAGUAUUCCUUACUGAUAAGAGACACUGACCAUGGAGUGGUUCUGGUGAGAUGACAUGACCCUCGUGAAGGGGCCUGAAGCUUCAUUGUGUUUGUUCUCCCUCUGUUGCCGAGGCUGGACUGUACUGCCGUGAUCUCGGCUUGCUGCAACCUCCCUGCCUCGGGCUCCCAUGAUUCUCCUGCCUCAGCCUGCCGAGUGCCUGGGAUUGCAGGCAUGCGCCACCACGCCUGACUGGUUUUUGUAUUUUUGGUGGAGAUGGGGUUUCGCUGUGUUGGCCGGGCUGGUCUCCAGCUCCUGACCUUGAGUGAUCUGCCCGCCUCGGCCUCCCGAGGUGCUGGGAUUGCAGACGGAGUCUCUCUCACUCAGUGC